Molecule: unclassified non-coding RNA, 310 nt
Filed under: uncultured Hebeloma
Lineage: Eukaryota; Fungi; Basidiomycota; Agaricomycetes; Agaricales; Cortinariaceae
Description: sequence contains ITS2
Rfam family: 5.8S ribosomal RNA (bases 1-52)
Source: RNAcentral
AACGCACCUUGCGCUCCUUGGUAUUCCGAGGAGCAUGCCUGUUUGAGUGUCAUUAAAUUCUCAACCUUUAUCAACUUUUGCUGAUAAUUGGCUUGGAUAUGGGGGUCUUUUUGCUGGCUUCUUCACAGAUGGUCAGCUCCCCUUAAAUGCAUUAGCCGGUGCCCCGCGUGGACUGUCUAUUGGUGUGAUAAUUAUCUACGCCGUGGACAUCUGCAAUCAUAUGGGUUUGCACUGCUUCCAACUGUCUGUUCAUUCAGACAAUACAUGACAAUUUGACCUCAAAUCAGGUAGGACUACCCGCUGAACUUAA